This 488-nucleotide ribosomal RNA is filed under the name uncultured bacterium. RNAcentral describes it as "partial 16S ribosomal RNA". It matches the Rfam family "Bacterial small subunit ribosomal RNA", at positions 29 to 503 of the family's 1533-position model. The record is from RNAcentral.
AUUGAACGCUGGCGGCAUGCUUUACACAUGCAAGUCGAACGGUAACAGGCCUUCGGGUGCUGACGAGUGGCGAACGGGUGAGUAAUGCAUCGGAACGUACCCAGAGGUGGGGGAUAACGCAGCGAAAGCUGUGCUAAUACCGCAUGUGAUCUGAGGAUGAAAGCGGGGGACCGAGCAGCAAUGUUUGGCCUCGCGCCUUUGGAGCGGCCGAUGUCGGAUUAGCUAGUUGGUGGGGUAAAGGCCUACCAAGGCGACGAUCCGUAGCUGGUCUGAGAGGACGACCAGCCACACUGGGACUGAGACACGGCCCAGACUCCUACGGGAGGCAGCAGUGGGGAAUUUUGGACAAUGGGCGCAAGCCUGAUCCAGCAAUGCCGCGUGCGGGAAGAAGGCCUUCGGGUUGUAAACCGCUUUUGGCAGGAACGAAACGGUGUCCGCUAAUACCGGGCGCUAAUGACGGUACCUGCAGAAUAAGCACCGGCUAACUA